This 127-nucleotide small RNA is filed under the name Marmota monax (woodchuck). The record is from RNAcentral. Lineage: Eukaryota; Metazoa; Chordata; Mammalia; Rodentia; Sciuridae.
GCAGGGUGAGGUAGUGUACACCUGUAAUCCUAGCAGCUUGGGAUACUGAGGCAGGAGGAUUGCAAGUUCAAGGCCAGUCUCAGCAAUUUAGUGAGCCCCAAAGCAACUCAGUGAGACCCUGCCUCUA